This 72-nucleotide transfer RNA is filed under the name Camelus bactrianus (Bactrian camel). It matches the Rfam family "tRNA". Rfam says of the family: Transfer RNA (tRNA) molecules are approximately 80 nucleotides in length. Their secondary structure includes four short double-helical elements and three loops (D, anti-codon, and T loops). RNAcentral also lists the same sequence under 2 other names. The record is from Rfam by way of RNAcentral. Lineage: Eukaryota; Metazoa; Chordata; Mammalia; Artiodactyla; Camelidae.
AGGGUAAUAGCUCAGGGGUAGAGCGUGUGCUUAGCAUGCAUGAGGCCCUGGGUUCAACCCCCAGUACCUCCA